RNAcentral lists this long non-coding RNA (639 nucleotides) under Rattus norvegicus (Norway rat). RNAcentral's name for it is "long non-coding RNA NONRATT027686". Lineage: Eukaryota; Metazoa; Chordata; Mammalia; Rodentia; Muridae. The record is from RNAcentral.
ACUGCUUUCCUUGGAGGUAAUAGCAGGCAACGUGCUUCAUACAGUCUUCUACAUUGUCGUUGAGAUGUGAAGAUGACAAGAGAAAACAACUGCCAGUGCUUCUGUGUUGUGCCCCUUGCUCUGCCCGCCAACUCUUGUACUUCUGCACUGUGCUCCUGGUUUGCCUGUUCGGUUUGCAUGGUUUCCCAUGCAGGUGGAGUGAGGGGUGCCUGUCUUUACAAGUUUCUUAAUAAAACGUCCUGCAUUUUUCUGUCUUUAGGCUAUUAGAUCAGCUUCCCAGAGCCAAUGUUGUUUUCCUAAGGUAUCUGUUUGGGGUAUUACACAACAUUGAACAACAUUCCUUAUCUAAUCAGAUGACUGCAUUUAACUUAGCAGUGUGUAUCGCUCCAAGCAUUCUUUGGCCUCCUGCUUCCUCCAGUCCAGAGCUAGAAAAUGAAUUUACAAAAAAGGUAAUGACAUUUCUUCAUUCUUAUGUUCCCGAGCCCUCACUCCCCAUUUUGAUACAUUUGAAAUUCAUGGUGUUCUUAAAUGGCUAAUGUAGACUUUCCUAUGGGGGGUUAUUGACCAUUCUGUCCUCGUAUAGAUUAUGGCAAAUUGAUACCAAAUGGGGGGGGGGGAUCAGUUGUUACUUCGAUUAAA